AGCUCCAAUAGCGUAUAUUAAAGUUGCUGCAGUUAAAAAGCUCGUAGUUGGAUCUCGGGGGACCUGGUCUAGCCGGUAUAGCUCACGCUAAAACUGGUCUGACCCCCCAACGUGAGGUAUUCGUCUCCGGGUGCACUUCAUUGGGUGCUCGUGAGGGGCCUCGUAGUUACUUUGAAAAAAUUAGAGUGUUCAAAGCAGGCUCAUAUGUUCGGAUAGUCGUGCAUGGAAUAACUGAAUACGUGACUUGCCCUUUUCAGUUGUUCUCGGCGACUGGUCUAAUGAUUAAUAUGGACUGCCGGGGGCAUUUGUAUGGCGGCGUUAGAGGUGAAAUUCUUGGAUCCUCUCCAGACCAACAACUGCGAAUGCAUUUGCCAAGAAUGUCUUCA
This 386-nucleotide ribosomal RNA is filed under the name marine Metazoa environmental sample. RNAcentral describes it as "SSU rRNA". It matches the Rfam family "Eukaryotic small subunit ribosomal RNA", at positions 587 to 972 of the family's 1831-position model. The record is from RNAcentral. Lineage: Eukaryota; Metazoa.